AUGUCAUCACAUGUCCACUUAUUUGCACUCAGCAUUUCUACAGGGGAGGAUGAUCACUUCACAUGCACAAUCUUCAAGAGUUACAUCUGCCAGAGAGAGUUACACAAAUAUCGGAAAAAUCAACUUUGGCUCUUAAAGUAUCUCAGGAUAUUUUGUUUGUUUACUUGCUUUGAAGAUUAUGAGGACCUGGAGAGCAAGCUAGAAGUUCCCUUGCAUGUAAUGCAUGUAGUGCUGCUGAAAAACCUGAACAGUGACAGUGAUGGGAGCUGGUAAGUGCAGUUCCAAGUGAUCAUUUCAUACCAGGAAAACAUUUUUGCUCAAAACAGAGGAUGUUCUAAGCUUUUAAUAGCUUUUCCCACAGACAAAAAUCUGGAGUGUGGAAAUAAGUCUUCAGUAAAAGACAGAGAUAAAAUGGACACUUCAACACAAAUCCACUUUGUGAUUUUUUGAAAAGAAAUACAAGUAGACUUCAUCACAGAAAUUUUUAAAAAAUUCAGAGAUUUCAGAAAAUUUACAUUCUGCUGUCAGAUCUCAAUGAUAUUUGUAAGUAACCAAAUUAAAGUCUUUGACUGAUGUGUAAUUCAGAUUCAAUUUCAUCCUUCUUUUCUGUUUUUUUUUUUUCUAACUCUUAUCUAAUAGUCUACUCAUAAUCUACUUUCCACACCAUGUAUUUUUAAGAACCUUGAUGAGGUCUCUUUGAUUAGUUCUUUUAAAUUAUUCACAUCUUCUCUCAUAUCAGUUUUGCUCUACUUUGGAAGAGGUAAGAGGCCUUUUAAUUUCUUGGCUGAAAUCCUGGGUCCUUUGAACUUAAUUGCAUGUCUGCACUCAGUUUCAUUGCAACCCCAACUUCCUCUUUAUCUCUCAAUCUCCUCUCCUCAGGAAGGUUGUGAUCAUUCCUACCUAUUUAUCUGUGUCCAUUUACUACAAUAUGAAAGCUAGUUUAAAAAACAAGGUAGAGUGCUUUCUGCACAAUCACACACACCAGAGAUACACCAGAGAUAUUCUGUGUACUGUGACAGCAUUAAAUAAUCCUUUGCACUGUCAUAUAUAAGGCAUGUAUCGCUGAGGACGUGAAAACGCAGGGACCAUAUGCAUCACUGAAAGGUACGCUGCAGUUCACUCAUGAGUUAUGAAAGUCUGAACAAAGCCCUAAUUUUGUGUUAUGCUUUAUGUUCCAGUGCAGCUUGUUUCCCUGUCUGUGCGGGAGGCAUAACUUUAGAGCUGUUCUAAGAGGGCGUUCUUUAUUUGCUUAAAUCAGAUGUACUUUUAUAUAUAACUCUCCCUUCCCCUACAAGCCCAGGUUUGACACAGGUUUUACUUGCCUGUUUGCACCUCUUAGGAAAGCAAGCUAGUUGAAAGCCAUGGUAUGCAGCCCUUCACAGCUUGUUUGAAAUCCUCCUGUGUCUGCUUAUUUCUGUCCGUUUGCUGCGGUUCAUCUCCCCUUCAUCCGCAGCAGCCCAGCCACAGUGGCACCCUGCUGGGAAAGGGGUUAGGGAUACAAUCUGUAUCAUGACAAUACUUUGGGGAAGGGAUAGAUAUCAGAACUGUUUUCAAUCCAGAUAAUUUCACAAUCCCAAAUUUGCAGUGCAUCCUCAUUACAGUUGCACAAGUAUAUUUGAAGACUCUAAUCUGUGCAUUGUUAGGAUUAGAGGGCUUCUCACUGAUUUCAUCACAAAGUAAAAGGAUUCAUAGGAAUCUACUAAGAAUUUUGAAGAAAAAUACAGAGUAAAGCAAGUCAUGAAAAAUUCAUGAGAGCUUGCAAAAUUGUUCCUUUUCUUUCAGCUUUUCUACCUUACAGUGUUGUUACAGGCUUUAAUUCACAAAAUGUUUGCAAAGCACUUUGGGAUGCUGAGAUAGAAACCAGGAUCUGAACCAUUCUAAAGAAUGAGUGAUUAUAAAAAUGUAAAUUAAAGUAAUUAUACAUGCAAACUUCCAUUAGGCUGUUUAAUACAAUACUUAAUAGAGUUUCAUUCUUUAUGCCUGCAUGUAAAUUAUGCACCUUGUUAUGACAUCAUUUAUUUUAUUUGCACAUGCACAGUUUUAUUCUACCUACAAAAUAUGCAUGUGUUUAAAAUAAACCUAAUCUCUCACUGGUCUACUGUAAACA
Molecule: long non-coding RNA, 2107 nt
Organism: Numida meleagris (helmeted guineafowl)
Lineage: Eukaryota; Metazoa; Chordata; Aves; Galliformes; Numididae
Source: Ensembl